AGUGUGGCCAAGUGGUUAUGGCAAUGGACUGCUAAUCCAUUGCUCUUUGAGCACACAAGUCCG
This 63-nucleotide transfer RNA is filed under the name Thalassiosira gravida. RNAcentral describes it as "partial tRNA". The record is from RNAcentral. Lineage: Eukaryota; Bacillariophyta; Thalassiosirophyceae; Thalassiosirales; Thalassiosiraceae.